This 253-nucleotide ribosomal RNA is filed under the name uncultured bacterium. RNAcentral's name for it is "partial 16S ribosomal RNA". It matches the Rfam family "Bacterial small subunit ribosomal RNA", at positions 524 to 776 of the family's 1533-position model. The record is from RNAcentral.
UACGUAGGGUGCAAGCGUUAAUCGGAAUUACUGGGCGUAAAGCGUGCGCAGGCGGUGGCUCAAGCCAGGCGUGAAAUCCCCGGGCUUAACCUGGGAAUGGCGUUUGGGACUGGGUCGCUAGAGUGUGGCAGAGGGAGGUGGAAUUCCACGUGUAGCAGUGAAAUGCGUAGAGAUGUGGAGGAACACCGAUGGCGAAGGCAGCCUCCUGGGCCAGCACUGACGCUCAUGCACAAAAGCGUGGGGAGCAAACAGG